Long non-coding RNA from Oncorhynchus tshawytscha (Chinook salmon), 1192 nucleotides. RefSeq lists it as uncharacterized. The record is from RefSeq and is a predicted model, not a curated record. Lineage: Eukaryota; Metazoa; Chordata; Actinopteri; Salmoniformes; Salmonidae. The transcript has 7 exons.
UUACGAGCUGCCCAAAACACGGCAUUAGCAAGGGGAGUCUCCUUCUGCAGGACAAACGCACAUGAUACAACAUCGACUAGACAUUGGUGUCAGAAAACAGACCUGUAAUCAGAAUAAAAGGUGAUGGGGAUUCAUACAGGCCCGUGGGGAGCACACCCUUCAUCACAGGCAAUGAAAGAGGUGGUGAUGACCGGUUACGGUCAGAGUGUGGAAUUAGUCUCAGAACAUGAACACAAGACAGCCCAACUUUCCAGCAGUUCAAUGGGCCAGCCUCAUGGGGAGAGCUGUGCUGCUCUCUAUACUGCUGUCUGAUCCUCUCCACGUGGUGUCAGACUCGGAUGAGGAGGUGCAGGGGCCAUCAGAGUGGCAAACAUGGAAGAGGAGCAACGGUGUGUCGUACGACAAGAAGGGUGACUGUGGCUCCUGCUGGGCGUUUAGCACUACGGGGGCCAUUGAAGGACAAAUGUUCAAGAGGACAGGUCAGCUGGUGUCCUUGAGUGAGCAAAACCUGGUGGACUGCUCCAAGCGCUAUGGCACCAAUGGCUGCAGUGGAACCUGCAUGGCUAAUGCCUAUGAUUAUGUGCUUCAGAAUGGGCUUCAGUCCACAGACACCUACCCCUACACAUCAGUGGAUUCCCAAUUCCCAGCCCUGUUUCUAUGAAAGCAGUCAGUCAGUUGCCAGGAUUACUGAUUAGAGGUUCAUACCCACUGGAGAUGAGCAGGCCCUGACGGAUGCUGUGGCAACCAUUGGCCCAAUCACCAUCGCUGUGGAUGCAGAUCACCCAAGCUUCAUGUUCUACAGUUCAGGAAUAUAUGAGGAGCCAAGCUGUAACCCCAACAACCUCAGUCAUGCAGUGCUGCUGGUUGGCUAUGGCUCUGAAGAGGGACAAGACUAUUGGAUCAUCAAAACAGUUGGAGUACUGGAUAGGGAGAGGGUGGCUACAUGCGAAUGAUCCGGAAUGGCAGUAACACUUGUGGUAUCGCAAGCUAUGCGCUCUACCCUAUUUUAAGAACCAUAUAGUUGAUAAAGUAUCAGAGACAGAACACAUCAUCUUGGUAGAUAGGUGUUCAGAGGUUAAUAAAAAGUAUUGAUUUGGUUUAUUUGUGGGGGUGAUGGUGCCAGGUAUUCUGUCUUUUAUACUGUACCACUCUGAGUAAUGCUAUGGCUGUAUUGCAUUGUGAUGGAGAAUAA